UUUUAAAAAUCUUUGGUGCUUUAUAUUGUUUGUCUUAUAAAUUCUAGGACUAUAGCCAACAGGUCAUAAAAUAAUAUGUCUAAUUAUGUUAAAUGAGGUAUAUUGAUUUAAUAUAUUUUUAAAAUGAUCCUUACUUGUUAUUUCACUUAUCCUAAAACAGUUAUAUUUAGGAAGCCGUGGAACUGAUAACUAACUUAAAAGAUAAUCAGAUGAGAAGGUGUGAAGUGAAAAGGAGAAAUCCAAGACCUGGGACCUAGAUAUAUUUUAGGCCUGAGGAAUGAAGUGCUUGGUGAAAUGGAAAGAAAGAAAAACACAGACAUUAUCUGUGUGCAUGGCUUCUAAACUUAGCAUCAAAGCAAGAAUCCGAUUCUUCUCUCCAUUGCUUAACUGCUGUCCGCAGAGGCCAUUAUGUCUUUUGAGCCCAUUAAAUACCUGUGGCUUAGCCUGGCUGAGUAUAUAGCAGUGGAAGAAUAGGAAAAUUUAAAAACAACCCAGCAAGAAGAAGAAGGGGUGAACUGAGAAUUUUGUUUCUGUACUUCAUGACUUACAACAUGGUGCUAUUGACAGUCAGGAAUGACUUUCAAGGUGACAUUGACUCAGCUUAAUGUUUACAUCAGUAUCUAGUUUCCCAUGUACUUAUUACAGUUUUUAAAAAUAGUUAACAUUUGUCUUCAUUGUCAAAUAGUAAUCUUAUCAAUUUGCUGAAUUUAAUUUUUAAAGAUUUGAUCUACUUAAAGUUUUUGUUUAUGAAAACUUAGCUUUGAAGUAAGUAUGCAACUCUUAGUAUCUCAUUGGGUAGAGAAUGUAUUUAACUAUACGUUUUGUAGUAAAGAUGUGCUAUAUGGUUAAGACCUGCUUACUUUAAAAAAUUAAUGAUUUACUCCUAUGAUAAGAUAGAAGCUGAAAAGUUUAUAAUGAUGGAUGCCCAUAAAUAUAUUAAUGCAGACUGACAGUGAGUCAUGCAUUUAACAUCAGUUUGUUCCCUUUGGAAAUUGCAUUUAUGUUUAACUGUGCAACAGACUUCUCAGCUAAAGAGAUCUCUUUUCUUUCCCCUCCCUCGCUUCCUCCUCUCUUCCUUUCUUCCAGGACACAAUUGGACUUGAUAUAGUUCCUUGUGGGUAUUUAGUCACCUAAAUUCUGGAGUAGGUUAGUGCAGUAAGAUUUUUAUUACAAUUUAAAAUAAGUGUAAAGCUUCCCCC
Lontra canadensis (Northern American river otter) is the source of this 1199-nucleotide long non-coding RNA. RefSeq lists it as uncharacterized. The record is from RefSeq and is a predicted model, not a curated record. The transcript has 2 exons. NCBI's taxonomy places the organism in Eukaryota, Metazoa, Chordata, Mammalia, Carnivora, Mustelidae.